RNAcentral lists this ribosomal RNA (793 nucleotides) under uncultured bacterium. RNAcentral's name for it is "bacterial SSU rRNA". It matches the Rfam family "Bacterial small subunit ribosomal RNA", at positions 8 to 796 of the family's 1533-position model. The record is from RNAcentral.
AGAGUUUGAUCAUGGCUCAGAUUGAACGCUGGCGGAAUGCUUUACACAUGCAAGUCGAACGGCAGCACGGACUUCGGUCUGGUGGCGAGUGGCGAACGGGUGAGUAAUAUAUCGGAACGUAUCCAAUAAUGGGGGAUAACUAAUCGAAAGGUUGGCUAAUACCGCAUACGCCCUACGGGGGAAAGCUGGGGACCUUCGGGCCUGGCGUUAAUGGAGCGGCCGAUAUCUGAUUAGCUAGUUGGUGAGGUAAAGGCUCACCAAGGCGACGAUCAGUAGCUGGUCUGAGAGGACGACCAGCCACACUGGAACUGAGACACGGUCCAGACUCCUACGGGAGGCAGCAGUGGGGAAUUUUGGACAAUGGGCGAAAGCCUGAUCCAGCCAUUCCGCGUGAGUGAAGAAGGCCUUCGGGUUGUAAAGCUCUUUCGCAAGGGAAGAAAGAUUACUCUCUAACAUAGAGUGAUUAUGACGGUACCUUGAUAAGAAGCACCGGCUAACUACGUGCCAGCAGCCGCGGUAAUACGUAGGGUGCGAGCGUUAAUCGGAAUUACUGGGCGUAAAGCGUGCGCAGGCGGUUUUGUAAGUCAGAUGUGAAAUCCCCGAGCUCAACUUGGGAACUGCGUUUGAAACUACAAGACUAGAAUAUGUCAGAGGGGGGUAGAAUUCCACGUGUAGCAGUGAAAUGCGUAGAGAUGUGGAGGAAUACCAAUGGCGAAGGCAGCCCCCUGGGAUAAUAUUGACGCUCAUGCACGAAAGCGUGGGGAGCAAACAGGAUUAGAUACCCCGGUAGUCC